UUUUCAGUGUCGCAGGGAAACCGAUAAACACACCGCCUGGGGAGUACGACCGCAAGGUUAAAACUCAAAUGAAUUGACGGGGACCCGCACAAGUAGUGGAGCAUGUGGUUUAAUUCGAAGAUACGCGCAGAACCUUACCAACACUUGACAUGUUCGUCGCGACUCUAAGAGAUUAGAGUUUUCGGUUCGGCCGGACGAAACACAGGUGCUGCAUGGCUGUCGUCAGCUCGUGUCGUGAGAUGUUGGGUUAAGUCCCGCAACGAGCGCAACCCUCACUUUUAGUUGCCAUCAUUAAGUUGGGCACUCUGAAAGAACUGCCAGUGAUAAGCUGGAGGAAGGUGGGGAUGACGUCAAGUCCUCAUGGCCCUUACGUGUUGGGCUACACACGUGCUACAAUGGUAUCUACAACAGGAAGCAAGACUGCGAAGUUAAGCAAAUCCCUAAAAGAUACCUCAGUUCGGAUUGCACUCUGCAACUCGAGUGCAUGAAGCUGGAAUUACUAGUAAUCGUGGAUCAGCGUGCCACGGUGAAUGCGUUCCCGGGUCUUGUACACACCGCCCGUCACACCAUGGGAGUUGGUUCUACCUUAAGGCAAGGUUUUAAACCCUUGACCACGGUAUAGUCAGCGACUGGGGUGAAGUCGUAACAAGGUAGCCGUAGGGGAACCUGCGGCUGGAUUACCUCCUU
Molecule: ribosomal RNA, 687 nt
Filed under: uncultured marine alpha proteobacterium
Lineage: Bacteria; Pseudomonadati; Pseudomonadota; Alphaproteobacteria
Description: bacterial SSU rRNA
Rfam family: Bacterial small subunit ribosomal RNA
Source: RNAcentral